RNAcentral lists this ribosomal RNA (424 nucleotides) under uncultured cyanobacterium. Its description in RNAcentral is "bacterial SSU rRNA". It matches the Rfam family "Bacterial small subunit ribosomal RNA", at positions 356 to 795 of the family's 1533-position model. Lineage: Bacteria; Bacillati; Cyanobacteriota. The record is from RNAcentral.
GGGGAAUUUUCCGCAAUGGGCGAAAGCCUGACGGAGCAAUACCGCGUGAGGGAGGAAGGCCUUUGGGUUGUAAACCUCUUUUCUUAAGGAAGAAGUUCUGACGGUACUUAAGGAAUAAGCAUCGGCUAACUCCGUGCCAGCAGCCGCGGUAAUACGGAGGAUGCAAGCGUUAUCCGGAAUCAUUGGGCGUAAAGGGUCCGCAGGUGGUCGUGCAAGUCUGCUGUCAAAGCAUGAGGCUUAACCUCAUAUCGGCAGUGGAAACUGUAAGACUAGAGUACGGUAGGGGUAGAGGGAAUUCCCAGUGUAGCGGUGAAAUGCGUAGAUAUUGGGAAGAACACCAGUGGCGAAAGCGCUCUACUGGGCCUGUACUGACACUGAGGGACGAAAGCUAGGGUAGCGAAAGGGAUUAGAUACCCCUGUAGUC